CCGAGUUAUACAACUCCUCAACCCCUGUGAACAUACCUAAUAUGUUGCCUUCGGCGGAAUCAGCCCGCGCCCUGUAAAACGGGACGGCCCCGCCAGCAGGAUCCACUAACUCUGUUUUAUAAUCGUACUUUCUGAGUAACAAGCAAAUAAAUCA
RNAcentral lists this unclassified non-coding RNA (154 nucleotides) under soil metagenome. RNAcentral describes it as "partial internal transcribed spacer 1". The record is from RNAcentral.